RNAcentral lists this small RNA (1069 nucleotides) under Pan troglodytes (chimpanzee). Its description in RNAcentral is "processed transcript". Lineage: Eukaryota; Metazoa; Chordata; Mammalia; Primates; Hominidae. The record is from RNAcentral.
AUGGGGGUCAUUGUUGCAGGGUCCUUUACUCUUGAGGCCCUGGUCUCAAGAAUUGAGUUAAAUAAAGUCAGUAGUUUCUAUGUGGGCAUUUUUAGCCGUAGGCCAGAACUAAUGAGUUGUAACAGAUUUUUAAAAAGAUGUAUAGAACAUUUCUGACUUUUGAUUGACUCUACAUUUAUUUUUUGCAUUUUGCUAUUUUGAAGACUAUGAAAGUGAUGACGACUCUUAUGAAGUGUUGGAUUUAACUGAGUAUGCAAGAAGACACCAGUGGUGGAAUCGAGUGUUUGGCCACAGUUCGGGACCUAUGGUAGAAAAAUACUCAGUAGCUACCCAGAUUGUAAUGGGUGGCGUUACUGGCUGGUGUGCAGGAUUUCUGUUCCAGAAAGUUGGAAAACUUGCAGCAACUGCAGUAGGUGGUGGCUUUCUUCUUCUUCAGAUUGCUAGUCAUAGUGGCUAUGUGCAGAUUGACUGGAAGAGAGUUGAAAAAGAUGUAAAUAAAGCAAAAAGACAGAUUAAGAAACGAGCGAACAAAGCAGCACCUGAAAUCAACAAUUUAAUUGAAGAAGCAACAGAAUUUAUCAAGCAGAACAUUGUGAUAUCCAGUGGAUUUGUGGGAGGCUUUUUGCUCGGACUUGCAUCUUAAGGACAUGAAUAUUCUCCCAUAACGGAUUCAACUAUGAGAAGAGAAGUGGCAGCAAUAAGGCAGUCUCUCAAAAGUCAUACUGCCAGAGUCUCUAGGGCAGGGAGAAACAACUAGCUGGACAAUACUCAAUUCAAAACUUAGCAUUUUGCCAUCUGAAGCUUGGCAAACUAGUAUCUGCUGUAAAACAACCUAUAUGGUAUGUGAACCAUAGUAUUCCUGAGCAAAACGUGGCUUUCAUCGCUUUGUAAAAAUUUGCAUCUGUUUAGAAACUAGCCUAUAAAAUAUCACCAUUGGAUGUAGAUAUGGAGAGAAAAGAAAUAUGUUGGGUUUAUUGCUUAGCGAAAUAUUCUCUUUUUAUUUAAAUAAAAUGUUCUUCAUUGUGUUUUAUGGUAUGUGUCCAUAAUUUAAAAUUCGUGCUACAGUUUC